This 544-nucleotide ribosomal RNA is filed under the name uncultured Burkholderia sp. RNAcentral describes it as "bacterial SSU rRNA". It matches the Rfam family "Bacterial small subunit ribosomal RNA", at positions 47 to 584 of the family's 1533-position model. The record is from RNAcentral. Lineage: Bacteria; Pseudomonadati; Pseudomonadota; Betaproteobacteria; Burkholderiales; Burkholderiaceae.
CCUUACACAUGCAAGUCGAACGGCAGCACGGGUGCUUGCACCUGGUGGCGAGUGGCGAACGGGUGAGUAAUACAUCGGAACAUGUCCUGUAGUGGGGGAUAGCCCGGCGAAAGCCGGAUUAAUACCGCAUACGAUCUACGGAUGAAAGCGGGGGACCUUCGGGCCUCGCGCUAUAGGGUUGGCCGAUGGCUGAUUAGCUAGUUGGUGGGGUAAAGGCCUACCAAGGCGACGAUCAGUAGCUGGUCUGAGAGGACGACCAGCCACACUGGGACUGAGACACGGCCCAGACUCCUACGGGAGGCAGCAGUGGGGAAUUUUGGACAAUGGGCGAAAGCCUGAUCCAGCAAUGCCGCGUGUGUGAAGAAGGCCUUCGGGUUGUAAAGCACUUUUGUCCGGAAAGAAAUCCCUGGCUCUAAUACAGCCGGGGGAUGACGGUACCGGAAGAAUAAGCACCGGCUAACUACGUGCCAGCAGCCGCGGUAAUACGUAGGGUGCAAGCGUUAAUCGGAAUUACUGGGCGUAAAGCGUGCGCAGGCGGUUUGCU